Molecule: ribosomal RNA, 166 nt
Filed under: uncultured bacterium
Lineage: Bacteria
Description: partial 16S rRNA
Rfam family: Bacterial small subunit ribosomal RNA
Source: RNAcentral
UAGGGAAUCUUCCACAAUGGACGCAAGUCUGAUGGAGCAACGCCGCGUGAGUGAAGGUAAGGGUUUCGGCUCGUAAAGCUCUGUUGUUAAAGAAGAACGUGGGUAAGAGUAACUGUUUACCCAGUGACGGUAUUUAACCAGAAAGCCACGGCUAACUACGUGCCAC